This 1977-nucleotide ribosomal RNA is filed under the name Triticum aestivum (bread wheat). RNAcentral describes it as "partial small subunit ribosomal RNA". The record is from RNAcentral. Lineage: Eukaryota; Viridiplantae; Streptophyta; Magnoliopsida; Poales; Poaceae.
AUGGCGCCACCGCCGGCCUCGUACCCCUCGCCGCACCGGCCGGCGCUCCGGCCGGGCAGCCUGCAGCGCCUGCUCCGCCCGCCGGACCCCUCCGACACCGACGACGCCCCCACCCCGCGCUCCCGCUCCCGUGCCCGCUCCAACGGCCGCGUCCUGCUCCAGGUCACCAACAUCACGCCGGCGCUCUCCGGCGCCGAUCCAUUCUCAGGCCACCAGGGCUUCUACCUCCGCCUCUCCGACUCCGCCCGCUCCUGCUACGUCUCCCUCCACGCCGACCACGACGACCUCAUCCUCACCAACGGCCUCCACAUCGGCCAGGUCAUCGAGGUCGACCACCUCAUGCCUUCCGUCCCAGCUCCCGUGCUCCGCAGCUUCCGCGUCCUCCCGGGGCGGUACCCCUGCAUCCAGCACGACUCCACGGACGAUGACGUCGACGCUGACGCCUGCUCCGCCCGCGCCGAGAUCAAGGACAAGGAGGUCGUCUCUGAGCGCCCGCGCCCGCGCCCGCGUACGCACCGGCCCUCGCCGACGCCGCCCCUCCCGGAGAGGAAGGCGUGGCAGUCCGGCUCCCCUGCCACGAUGGGCCACGGCCACAGGUCGCGGUCGUUCACGACUCUGUCCGAGGCGUGCGCGGCGCCGGCAAAGCCGGUGAGGAGGAGUGAGGGGGAGCGGAGGGGCGCCGAUUUCCUGAAGAAGGUCAGGAAGACCAGCGUUGCGUCCAUCGACGGCAACAGCAGCGACGUCGACGAUGACGAUGACGAGUCGGACGUCUCGUCGUCGAUUUCCACCACGAGGAGGAACUGGGAUUUCACCGGCAGCAUAAGACCCGUCGGCCCCCGGAUACGCAGCAACAGUAUUUCGCCAGGGAGAUCAGGCCCAAACCAGAGCGGCACGGCGAAUGACCCACUGGAGUCGGUGAGAAGGAAAGCCGAGAAGGCAUUCAAGGUGCUCUCCAAGAGGAGCGCCCACGCCUCAAGCAAGACGCUCAGAGAGAGCUCCAGCGCGGCGGGGACACCGCGGAGCACCGGUGUGACGAGCGGAAUCCGGUGGUGCGAGGACAAUGUGCUGUGGAGCUCGCUCUCCUCGAGCUUAACGAGGCAUGGCAAGGAGGCAGUGAAGCAGAGAGACAUGGCACUGCAGGCUGUGCUUGAUGGAUUGCUAGAGGCAUCCACCACCGAGAAGUUGAUAAAAUGCUUGAGUACGUACUCUGAACUGCAAUCAGACAAGGACGACGACCCAAAGGAGCUCAUCGACAGGUUCUUGCGCUUCUCCCAAGAACUGGAUCAUGCCAUCUUCGUCGCUCAAUCACAGACCAGACUUCGUCAAGCGAAGUCAGGUGGUUCCAAUUCGACCUCCUCGGCUUCGUCCAAGGCUGCCAUGAAGGCCGCGCUGGACAGGAAACAGUCCGCCAUCUCAUGGGUCAGAGCAGCCAUUGAAGCCGACCUCUCACCUCUCUCCAGCCAUACAAGAGUCACCUCUGAAUCCGCAAAGCCAUCACCGUCUGAAUCAAGGCCUGUCACCCCACGGCUCUGCUGUUCCAAGACAAAGUGCAACUGUAACGGCAAGUCCUCCUCGAGGAAAACCGCCGACGCUUCGAGCAAGCUGAGUGCCGCCAUGGACCUGGCCGUCGCGCUGCGGUCGGAAUGCAACCGGUGGUUCCUCAAGUACAUCGACAAGUUCCUGGACGACGUCGAGAACGAGGCCGGGUACACGACGACGUGUGAUUCGCAGGUCGCGGGGCUUCUGCAGCAGCUCAAGAGAGUGGACGACUGGCUCAACCAUGUCGUGCGGCACGAGCGGAUGCUUCCGGGGCCGGGAGACAGAAGCAGCAGGGACUGCGUGUUUUCUGAGGAGGAGGAGAACGAUGCGUGCGAGAGGGUUCGGAGGAAGAUAUACGGGGCGCUCCUAAGGCAUGUCCAGUAUGCUGCGACAGCGCUAGAGAGUAUGAAUAGUGUAGUAACUGAAGAGGAGAAUUAG